Molecule: long non-coding RNA, 698 nt
Filed under: Homo sapiens (human)
Lineage: Eukaryota; Metazoa; Chordata; Mammalia; Primates; Hominidae
Description: HSALNT0101953
Source: RNAcentral
CAGGGACCAACGGCACCAGCAUCACACCUGAGACCUUGUUAGAAAUGCAGAAUUUCAGGCCCCAGCCCAGACCUGGUCCAUUAGAAUCUGGAUUUUAGUAUCAGACAGCUCUAGCAAUGCUGUGUUGUGGACAGAAGUGCCUCUUUCCAACUCCCACUAACCUGGCUUCAUUGGAUAAAAAGCUCUGAUAUGGUUUGGCUGUGUCCCUGCCCAAAUCUCAUCUUGAAUUAUAGCUCCCAUAAUCUCCAUGUGCCAUGCGAGGGACCCCGUGGGACGUAAUUGAAUUAUGGGGGCCGGUUUUUCUUGUGCCGUUCUCAUGAUAGUGAAUAAGUCUCACAAGAUCUGAUGGUUUUAUAAAGGGCAGUUCCCCUGCACAAGCUCUCUUGCCUGCUGCCAUGUAAGACAUGCCUUUGUUCUUCCUUCACCUUCCACCAGCCCUAUGUGAAAUGAAGAUCUGAUCAACAGCCCUGUGUGAAAUGAAGAUCUGAUCAAUUAACCAGGUGAUUAAAUUGAUGAAGAUAGCCAACCAAAGUUAUUCUAACUCUGGAAAGAAAUUUUUUACCACCUUCACGUUCUAAUAGAUGAAUCAAAUGAAUAGCGAUUAUUAUCACAUUAGCAGUAUAAAUGUCUAUGUGAUUUAGUGUUACGAAGACACACACUUCAAUUUUGCCUAGGUAUUUUCAUUAUUCUCUGUACCU